UUAGGAAGACAGGACUCGAACCCGCACCAAGAAACUCAAAAUCACUCGUACUCCAUUAUACGACCUCCUA
This 70-nucleotide transfer RNA is filed under the name Chalarodon madagascariensis (Madagascar iguana). RNAcentral describes it as "tRNA-Gln". The record is from RNAcentral. Lineage: Eukaryota; Metazoa; Chordata; Lepidosauria; Squamata.